AUGCAUUUCCUUCUAUGUUUGCCGGGGUCUGUGCCCUCCACUGAGAGUGCUGUUGGACUGCUAAUGCACAUCCAACCCUCUCACUGCAGUCCCCACGCUCUAACAUUGACUGUCUCGCAGCAAAGCCACCUCGAGCAUCAUUGGAUUGAGUUAUCAUUUGAGCGCCCCCUCAGACACUCUGCACGAUCCAGCCUUCAGAGUUUGAGGGGCGGCACAAAAGGCUGGCAAAGAUGGCCAGUUUAUGACUGCUCAUACAGCCGCCACGUUCUCGCAAUGGCGACGUGGCCCGAUUUUUAUCUUGGUGAAUUAAAUCCUGCCGUGGAUACGCUUCAGGAUUAUACACAACGAAACGCAGCGAGUUUACGCAUGCGCUUUACUUCAUGUUCGCCAGGGACUGUGCCCUCCACUAUAGAGUGCUGUUGGACCGCUAAUGCGCAUCCAACACUCUCACUGCAGUCCCUACGCUCUGACAUUGACUGUCUCGCAGCAAACAGCGCUUCGAGCAGCAUUGGAUCGGGCUGUGACGCCAGGCAUAAAUAAUAACUAAUAAUCCCUCAGACACUGCGCAAUCCAGCUUUCAGAUUUUGAGGGGUGAUUCUAGGGUCUUACACAGACGACCCAUUUAUGACGGCUCGCACAGCCGCCGUUUUAGUUAGCGGCAGAGCUUGAUGUUCAAUUCGUUGGUCUAAUUCCUGCCGUGGACACGUUCAGGAUUAUACACAACGGGACGCAAUAGCUCUUAUGCAUACACUUCCCCUGUGCACGAAUGCCGCAGGCUUUUCCGUGCACGGACAUUAUGUGUAUGACAACGUUGCAGAAAGCGGAAAUUUGAGACUGCUAGUAUCGUUUUGGGUCGCGUGUAACGCUUGCCCGGCAUUUCUCAAUGGGUGUUACGCACAAUUGUCACGGAUACACCAAUUCGCUUUUUAGAGGCCCGCCUCUUUCCGCUGAAUUCUUUCCACGGUGGUAGACUGAUGGUAAUAGCAGUGUUGUGACAGGAGAUGUCAACUCUGCUGAGCAAAGGGGCUAUAGAAGUCGUAGACCCCGUACUUCUCAAUGCAUGGAUGUAGCUCUGGCCCCGUUGCGGCUCCAGGGCGUCCAUCUGUUAACCACUUGGACGAUUGACAGCGGCAUUCCCCGUAAUUUGUCUGGGGUUACUUCACAUGCGCCCCUUUUCAGUGGAAAAGUGGGCGGAAAGACGAAAUAUUUCACCCCGUUGUCUUCCGCGUCCGACGAUUUCGGUGACACGGAGUUGUGUGAUGUCGUUAAAACUAUGGAUGCCAACCGAGUUUCUCCUACCGGGGUUCGGCUGGGGAUUGAGCUUUCCCAGAGACCGUCACGACGGAUGCGUCUUUGACCGGUUGGGGAGCUGUUUGUCAAGGGCUAUCAGCCCAUGGAGUGUGGACAGCUGCACAACGCAGUUGGUAUAUAAACCGGUUGGAAUUACUGGCAGUUUUCUGGCUCUCCAGUAAUUCGCGAAUCUGCUGAUCGGCCGUCUUGUGCUGCUCAGAUCAGACAACACAGCGUUUGUCUCAUACCUGAAUCAUUAGGAAGGAUUACGCUCUCGCCCCCUGUGCAGGCUGGCGAGACAUGUUCUUCUCUGGUCUCAGAGAAAAUUUCUGUCGAUCCGAGUUGUUCAUGUCCCCGGACGUUUGAACUUCGGAGCGGAUAUGCUAUCCAGACAGGCUCUGGAACAGGGAGAAUGGAGAUUACACCUCCAGACGGUGAAUCUUUUAUGGUGGAUAUUCGGCAAAGCGAAAGUGGAUUUAUUCGCGUCAAACAUGACUACGCAUUGCCCACUAUGGUUCUCCCUAUGCCCCCCAUCGCCCCUGGGCGUGGAUGCAUUAGCUCACAGCUGGCCCAGGACCAGUCUGUAUGCUUUUCCUCCGAUUCAUUUGAUCCCAGCGGUAUUAUGCAGAAUACGGAGGGACAGCUGCUGCUGGUGGCUCGGCGAUGGCACACGCAGCCGUGGUUUGCGGAUCUAUCAGUCUGCUAGCGGGCUCUCCGUGGAGAUUCCCCUCAGACAAGAUUUAUUAUCACAAGCACCGGGGCUGAUUUGGCACCCGAGGCCGGAUCUGUGGAAACUGUGGGCGUGGCCACUGAGCGGAGUGCAUUAGUAUGUCCCGGUCUUUCUGUUGGAACCACUGAGACUAUAUUGAAUUCUAGAGCAGCUUCUACGAGACGCUUAUAUGCUUUCAAGUGGAGACUGAUUACAGCCUGGUGUGGCAAUCGUAAUGUGGAUCCAGUUUACUGCCCAGUGGCUUCAGUGCUGGAGUUCCUCCAGGAUUGUUUUUCGGAUGGCGUAACACCAGCCACUUUUAAGGUUUACGUGGCAGCCAUUUCAGCUUACCACGAAUACAUAGGCGGUGCCUCUAUGAGGCGUCAUCCACUAGUUUCUCGUUUCGUACAGCGUGCGCGACGGCUGAGGCCUUUCCGCCCUGUGCGAGUUCCUUCAUGGGGUUUAUCCUUUGUGUUGCUAGGUUUAUCAGGGCAUCCGUUUGAGCCCUUGGAGCCCGUAUCGUAUAAAUUCUUGACACUGAAGACAUUUCUUCUCAUGGCUUUAUCCUCCCUCAAGAGAGUUGGGGAUUUACAGGCUCUUUCUGUUUCACCCUCAUGCAUGGAAUUUGCACCGGGCUCUGUGAAGGUGCUGCUGCGGCCCAGGCCUAACUAUGUUCCUAGGUCGCAUCUAACCUCUUUCGCUUUCAGUAAGUGUUCCUGGAAGCUUUUCACCUGCUGAGGCUGGAUCAAGAGAUCUAAGUCUUUGCCCUGUGAGAGCUUAAAGACUUAUGUGGAUCGUACAGCCCCUUGGCAUGAAUCUGACCAGCUGUUUGUCUGUUUUGGACAUAAAAGUAAGGGCCAUGCGGUUACAAAGCAGCGCAUGUCCCAUUGGCUGGUGGAGGCAAUUUCUUUGGCCUAUGAGGCGCGCGGACUCGCUUCGCCCUUAGGAAUUGAGGCUCAUUCCACUUGAGCUGUGGCUUCUUCUCAAGCUUUUCUCAGUGGAUCUUCUAUGGAUGAUAUCUGUGCUGCGGCAGGAUGGUCCUCACCGAGCAUUUUUAUCAAGUCCUACAGUCUGGAUGUGAGGAUGGCUCCUGGCUCCCGGGUUCUCUCCGCUUGAGCAGAUGCUUCCUCGGAUCUCAGUUAUCAGGUACGUCAGGCGUUUUAGUAUAUCGUUCCCAUACGUGGUGACGUCACCGCAGCAUCGAAGUGACCUAUGAUAGGGAACAUCUCGGUUACGUAUGUAACCUUGGUUCCCUGAAUAGGGAACGAGAUGCUGCGGUUCUGGCCGUUCCGUACCUUGAUAAUUUCUUCAUCUUCAGUCAUGAAAUCUGAGCGAAAUGGCGAGCUGCACCCAGGUAUAUCAUGCGUGCGCAUGCGUAGGGUGGUGCUAUGCGCCAUUUGGCCAAUAGGAUUGGCGGGAUGGUAUAGGGCUUCAGACAUUCGUCACACCGGAGGUGUUCCCAUACGUGGUGACGUCACCGCAGCAUCUCGUUCCCUAUUCAGGGAACCAAGGUUACAUACGUAACCGAGAUGUUCUGCUCUGGGUGGGAUGAAUUAGGAAGCUUGCAUUGUGAAGGGCGCUCUGAAAAUCGGCAGUGCAGGUAAAAGAUUAAAACCUCUAUUAAAACAGAUGUCCAAAUGAGCGUACCGGCUCACUUAAAGCCCUGGCAAUGACUAUACUUUGGAAUUUUUUUGCAGUCCACUUAGAAUUCAACAUGGAAAUCAUUUUUGUUUUUUAUUGGCAUUGAUUGUUUUGAAAUUCAAAUGGUACUUACAUGCCUGUGUUUUUAUUUCUGUAAUAAAUAUGGCUUUCAAGCCAACAGUUAAUUUGGAGGAUAUUGAUGAUUUAUUGCAGGUAUGUUGUUUACAUGAGAAAAUCUGUGUUACAAGUUAAACAAAAAUUCCAAUAAACAAUCAUAUUUUGAAUUUAAAUAGUUUCUUUGUCUUGAGUUUACAUUAAUUAUUUACAUUUUACAUUUACCUAUCCAAAAAGUUUCAGUCUUUUAAUUGCGAUUAAUCGCGAUUAAUCGCGAUUAAUUUUAAAAAAUUGUGCGAUUAAUUAGUUAAUUUUUUUUAAUCGAUUGACAGCACUAAUAUAUAUAUAUAUAUAUAUAUAUAUAUAUAUAUAUAUAUAUAUAUAUAUAUAUAUAUAUAUAUAUAUAUAUAUAUAUAUAUAUAAUUUAUCUCCUUUUUAUUACAUUUUUAAUAGUACAUUUAGAUAUCAUGUUACUAUAAA
This 4234-nucleotide long non-coding RNA is filed under the name Carassius auratus (goldfish). RNAcentral describes it as "lncRNA (ENSCARG00000014188.1)". Lineage: Eukaryota; Metazoa; Chordata; Actinopteri; Cypriniformes; Cyprinidae. The record is from RNAcentral.